GUCUACAGCCAUGCCACCCUGAACGUGCCGGAUCUCUUCUGAUCUCUGAAGCUAAGCAGGGUCGAGCCUGGAUAGUACUUGGAUGGGAGACCACCUCAAAAUACCAGGUGCUGUAGGCC
Pteropus vampyrus (large flying fox) is the source of this 119-nucleotide ribosomal RNA. NCBI's taxonomy places the organism in Eukaryota, Metazoa, Chordata, Mammalia, Chiroptera, Pteropodidae. The record is from Ensembl.